RNAcentral lists this long non-coding RNA (326 nucleotides) under Phoenix dactylifera (date palm). Its description in RNAcentral is "long non-coding RNA (PDAC_LNC012956)". The record is from RNAcentral. Lineage: Eukaryota; Viridiplantae; Streptophyta; Magnoliopsida; Arecales; Arecaceae.
AGAUGGUAUAAUGAGCUAGACAGCCCAGUAAGUAAUGAACACUCUAGCUAGAUAAAUCAAGCAAUAAUAUGUGGAAAAUAAAUAAAUAUGCAGUUUCAAAAUAUAAGUCAAAUAUUUCUUAAAUUCAUAAGAUUUUUUUCGCGGUUUCAAGAUUCUUUCACAUAUUCAAUUCAUCUUGUCGAUCCUGGACUAUGACCACAUGUUCCCUAUGGCAGGGUCAUCAACACCGACUAAUCUUCUUGCGGUGAGUCCUUCAGGACAGUCAAUUGCCAACGUAUCUGCCCCCAUUGGCAGGGUCCUCAACAUAGCCAAGUCGAAGUUCAGUU